This 211-nucleotide long non-coding RNA is filed under the name Trifolium pratense (red clover). RNAcentral's name for it is "long non-coding RNA (TPRA_LNC007100)". Lineage: Eukaryota; Viridiplantae; Streptophyta; Magnoliopsida; Fabales; Fabaceae. The record is from RNAcentral.
GAUGAACAGUAACGCGAUUUCCUCUUUCUCGUUGAACAAUAUAAUGGGUUUUCACUUCGCCUUCAUUUCGCUUGCUAGAUCUGGUUUUCAAUUUGCAGCAGAUCUGGUUUUUGGGUCUUGCUUGAUUUAUGUUUUCUUAAUGUUUGCUUGAUUUUGGUGUGAAAAAAAAAUGUUUGCUUGAUUUUGCUAUGUGAUUUAUGGGUUCAAUUUC